GGUGGCUUUAUAAGAGGAGGAAGAGAGACCUGAGCUAGCAUGCUCAGCCCCCUCACCCCCUGUGCUACCUUGGGACUCUGCAGAGUCCUCGACAGUAAGAAGGCUCUCACCUGUUAUGCCCCUGGACCUUGGACUUCUCAGCCUCCAUAACUGGUGCCUGUGCAGCAGUAUUCACUGUGAUAGGAAGUGAGAAGCAGUCUGAGUGUUCAUUGCUGAGGGAAUCAAGGGCAAAAUAUCAUGGAUGCACUCAUGGACAAAUAAGCAGCAGUUUGAAGCAACAACCUAGAUGGAUGUACAGCCAUCAAGAGGAUCUUAAAGUGUGGUCUUUAGUGGAAAAAAAGGUUACAUUUGAACAUAUUUAUCUGCUAAAGCAAAAUAAUUCCCAUCAUUCUAUAGCAGAAGCAAUGUAUGGGAGACUGAGUAAUUACAUAUAAGCUCACAUCACUAUCUCUUCCACCACUGUCAUCCAUCAUGACUGAUCUGGGAGAUGAAACAGCACAGAUCUAAAGGACGUGGUAAGAAUCGAGAUCACCAGAGAUCAGUAGAUACUUGCAUACUUGCAGGAUUAACACUGUCUGGAUUCCAACGAUCAGCUGAGUAUGUUCAAGAUAAAGCUAUAGUACAUAUUUU
Long non-coding RNA from Homo sapiens (human), 630 nucleotides. Lineage: Eukaryota; Metazoa; Chordata; Mammalia; Primates; Hominidae. The record is from Ensembl.